UACGUAGGGUGCGAGCGUUAAUCGGAGUUACUGGGCGUAAAGCGUGCGCAGGCGGUUUUGCAAGCCGGAUGUGAAAUCCCCGGGCUCAACCUGGGAAUGGCAUUUGGGACUGCAAGGCUCGAGUGCGGCAGAGGAGACUGGAAUUCCUGGUGUAGCAGUGAAAUGCGCAGAUAUCGGGAGGAACACCAGUAGCGAAGGCGGCACUCUGGGCCGUGACUGACGCUGAGGAGCGAAAGCGUGGGUAGCAAACAGG
Molecule: ribosomal RNA, 253 nt
Filed under: uncultured bacterium
Lineage: Bacteria
Description: partial 16S ribosomal RNA
Rfam family: Bacterial small subunit ribosomal RNA
Source: RNAcentral